GGGAUCUUAGCUCAGCUAGGAGAGCAUCUGCCUUACAAGCAGAGGGUCACAGGUUCGAGCCCUGUAGGUCCCA
RNAcentral lists this transfer RNA (73 nucleotides) under Clostridium sp. AF12-41. RNAcentral's name for it is "tRNA-Val". It matches the Rfam family "tRNA". From Rfam's summary of the family: Transfer RNA (tRNA) molecules are approximately 80 nucleotides in length. Their secondary structure includes four short double-helical elements and three loops (D, anti-codon, and T loops). The record is from RNAcentral. Lineage: Bacteria; Bacillati; Bacillota; Clostridia; Eubacteriales; Clostridiaceae.